UAAAACGCCGUUAAAUACGGCGUCAUUGACGUAUUUUCGCGCGUUUUUUUUUUACGGCGUUUGUAAUCACAACGGCGUAUUUUGAGGCGCAAAUACUGUUUAAAACGCCGUAUUUGACGGCGUUUGACUGUAAACGCAAUUAAUCUAUAGUGUAAUUCUGACCCUUUUAGCUUGCCAUAAUAAGGUGCACGAGCACCAGGCGCGUUCUCUACGAGUCGUCCUAACAGUAUCUAUGCCUCUAAUAAUGUAGUUGUAUUACUGACGGACACACAUAAUCUUCAGAAACAUUGACAACAAUUUCCCUGUUCUUGCUCAGCUUCAUCAGUUUAUGCCUCGCUCUUCUUAGCUCUGCUGCCGCCAUGUUUAAAACUAUGUUAGGAAAUAGCAAAUGUAACAUAUUGUUAAAUUUGAAUUAUCAUUUUGCUCCGAACAUUGCACAUAUGGUAUGGAAAAUGUAAAUUCAAAUACAAAAAUGCAUUGCCAUUUUACAUAUUGCAUUACCAUUUUGCAUAUCACAAUUCAAAUUGAAAUUUGCUACACAUAUGCUUCCAGCAUAGUGAAGCCUCUCAUCCAUUGACAUCCAUUCAAAAACGCGGCAUCUGGUCUCCUUCCCUGCGUACCGCCAGAGCAGUCGCCAUUCUGUUGUGAUAAUGAAUCGUCCGGAGCGUCCAUAGGCAGCAGACUGUUCAGCAGAGGGCCACCAUCCAAACUGAGCUGACCAGAUCAUUUCCAUCUGGGUUUUUCAGUAAAGGACGGGGUAAAAGGCGAAUGCUGUCACUGACCCCUAGUAAACCCGCAAAAAUAUUGCCUGUUAAUUUUUACUUGCUGCCUCACCAAUAUGAGCGAACGCCUAAGGAGAGUGAGCAACUGGUACACAUGCAAGCUGGGUUGGGACGAAAGACAAUGCAUAUGGAUGAAAAUGCAACAUAUGAGGAAGUAUGUGCCCAGCUGAAGGAGCUCUACCCCAAAUUUCAAGAAAUAAAAGGGGGUUGGCCUGUCUAUAAAUCUUCAGGAGGAUGGGGCUCCCGGAAGCUCGUUCUUAUUUCACCCGAUGAGAGUGGGUACAGUGCCAAGCAUUUGAAGACAGCAACACAAGGUUUUAAAGGAGUUAUUUACAUAGCUCCUCUUCAAAUGACGAGGCUGAACAGACCAAACAACCUUCAACCUCUGGAAUUAUGUAAGAGCCUUCUACAUCUGGAUUUUCUGUGCCAGUGACACAUACUGGUGAUGAUUCAAAUGCAGCUGAAGCCACAAGCAUGAGUUCUGAUGCUGCUUCCCUGUAUCUGCUGGCCCUCUGUUAGCAGUGUGGAUGAUGACGACGAUGAAGAUUGUUCGCUAGAAGAUAGAUGUCGCAUCUCAGGGUAUUUGCGUCACUUCAUUGAGACUGGUAUAAAUCUUUAAAUCUUUGCACUAUUGAGCCUUCAGAUCAUCUGUAUAUUGUUGGAUCGACUGUUUCUCAUCUUUCUCUUGAAAAUAUCCCAUAGAUUCAGGUCAGGCAUAUUGGCUGGCCAAUAAAGCACAGUAAUAUCAUGGUCAGCAAACCACUUGGAAGUGGUUUUUGCACUGUGGGCAGGUGCUAAAGUCCUGCUGGAAAAGGAAAUCAGCAUCUCCAUAAAGCUUGUCAGCAGAUGGAAGCAUAAAGUGCUCCAAAAUCUCCUGGAAGAUGGCUGCAUUGACUUUGCACUUGAUAAAACACAAUGGACCAACACCAGCAGACGUCACGGCCCCCCCAAAUCAUUAUUGACUUCAGAAACUUCACACUAGACUUCAAGCAGCUUGGAUUCUGUGCCUCUCCAGUCUUCCUUCAGACUCUGGGACCAUGAUUUCAACAUGAAAUGCAAAAUUUACUUUUAUCUGAAAAGAGGACUUUUGACCACUGUUCACUGUCCAGUUCUUUUUCUCCUUAGCCCCGGUAAGAUGCUUCUGACGUUGUCUCUGGUUCAGAAGUGGCUUGGUAGUCCUUUUCCUGAAGAUGUCUGAGUGUGGUGACUCUUGAUGCGCUGACUCCGGCUUCAUUCUACUCAUUGUGAAGCUCUCCCAAGUGUUUGAAUCGGCUUUACUUGACAGUAUUCUCAAGCUUGCGGUCAUCCCUGUUGCUUGUGCACCUUUGCCUACCCAAUUUCUUCCUUCCAGUCAACUUUGCAUUUAAUAUGCUUUGACACAUCACUCUGUAAACAGCCACCCCAUUCAGUAAUGACCUUCUGUGACUUACUCUCUUUGUGGAGGGUGUCAAUGAUUGUCUCCUGGACCAUUGCCAAGUCAGCAGUCUUCCCCAUUAGUGUGGUUUCAAAGAACAAAAGAUACCCGGAAUUUAUACUGUAGGGAUGGUCAUUUAAUGAAACUCAAAUGUAAAUAUUCUAAUAUUUUGAGAUACUGGAUUUUGGACUUUCAUUAGCUGUACGCUCUAAUCAACAAAUUAAAAAAAAAAAAAACUUUUGAAAUGUUUUACUUUACAUGUAGGGAAUCUAGAAUAUAAAGUUUCAUUUUUUUAAAAUAAUUUACAAUAAAAAAAAUAACUUUUUCACAAUAUUCUAAUUAUAUGACCAGCACCUGUAUAAAUGAAACAGUUCUUAAAAACAAAAUACACAGUGAAUGUUAUGGUUGAAUUAUUCAUCAAAUAAAUUUAAAUUCAAUUCCAGCAGUCCAGUUAAUGUGUCAUUACUCAAGUGCUUGGCAAAACUGCACUGCAGCCAUGUAAAUGUCUAUCCCAUGGGACUGUGAUGGUGACCUAGGAUCCACUGUGUCCUUCAGUGCAGUAAAUUGCUCUGGUGUAAGUGGACAUUCUACAGUAGGGACAUUAACUCCAACCCUUUCAUCAGGAGGCAAUCCACUGCUUUCCCAAUCAAUAUCAGCAAAGUUCAGUUCCUGUGUAAACAAAACAACAUUACUCUACAAUCUCAGUUCCUAUAACAGUUCCAAAUACUACAUUUUUAUGGUUACUACAACACUAAUUGAGGUGUUUAAAUGCCAGUGAAUAAACAUUUGAAUACUCAUGACCUUUGUAAUGUCUCUAAAAAUGUAAACAUGGCUGUAAGUUUGCACGCACAUUAAUACCUCUUCAUUUUGUGGAUCAUCAACUGUAUAGUGAAUUUGACCCAAUUCCCAAAGCUGGUUCAGAGACAUGUUGUGUUCUGUUCCCAAAGGGUGAUUAUCCCACCCAUCUCUGAAAAUGUUUAGAUCAUUGUGUAGCCUUGGUAGGAAUGUAUAGUGGCAACAGAAGAGAUGCGUUUGGUCUGCAAUAUGAAGGUAGUUGGCUUUCUCAAGAUAGUGUAGCACAUCCCUCCACAGUCUAUUCUAUAACAAAGCAUCACAAAAAAAAAAAAAAAUCAUAUGCAAUUUGAUGGUUCAAACAAACAUUUGGAAAAUAAAGCACAAGGUUGCAUAGUAGAGAUAUGUCUGCAACGUAAUACCUUCUUUACAUACCUUUGGUUGUGGACACUUUUUCCUGAAAUGAAACUGCUUCUCCCUGUGCCACGAAUUGUGAACAUUAAACAUGCAAUGUCCACAUUCUCAACUCCAUGGUCCCCUCUGACCCUAUAAUAUUAAAGUUGGUCAAGGCAAUGUUUUAAUACUUAACCCAGUGCUCAUUUAUACAGCUUAAUUGAAUGUGUGUGUAUAUACACACACACACACACACACCUGUCAGUGGUCAUAACAUUAUGACCACUGACAGGUAAAAGUGAACAAUAAUGAUUAUCUAUUCAUCACAGGACCUGUUAAAGGGAUACUUCACCCAAAAGAGUCAUUUACUCACCCUCAAAUAUUUCCAAACCU
This is a long non-coding RNA of Ctenopharyngodon idella (grass carp), 3774 nucleotides long. RefSeq lists it as uncharacterized. The transcript has 7 exons. The record is from RefSeq and is a predicted model, not a curated record. NCBI's taxonomy places the organism in Eukaryota, Metazoa, Chordata, Actinopteri, Cypriniformes, Xenocyprididae.